CCUACGGGGGGCAGCAGUGAGGAAUAUUGGUCAAUGGACGAGAGUCUGAACCAGCCAAGUAGCGUGAAGGAUGACUGCCCUAUGGGUUGUAAACUUCUUUUAUAUGGGAAUAAAAUGUUCCACGUGUGGGAUUUUGUAUGUACCAUAUGAAUAAGGAUCGGCUAACUCCGUGCCAGCAGCCGCGGUAAUACGGGGGAUCCGAGGGUUAUCCGGACUUAUUGGGUUUAAAGGGAGCGUAGGUGGAUUGUUAAGUCAGUUGUGAAAGUUUGCGGCUCAACCGUAAAAUUGCAGUUGAAACUGGCAGUCUUGAGUACAGUAGAGGUGGGCGGAAUUCGUGGUGUAGCGGUGAAAUGCUUAGAUAUCACGAAGAACUCCGAUUGCGAAGGCAGUUCACUGGACUGCAACUGACACUGAGGCUCGAAAGUGUGGGUAUCAAACAGGAUUAGAUACCCUGUAGUC
RNAcentral lists this ribosomal RNA (459 nucleotides) under uncultured bacterium. Its description in RNAcentral is "partial 16S ribosomal RNA". It matches the Rfam family "Bacterial small subunit ribosomal RNA", at positions 338 to 795 of the family's 1533-position model. The record is from RNAcentral.